CUACGAUGCAUGGACACGCGAGAAAGCAACCGUAUCCCGUAUCUGACACGCUGAGGAUACGGAUACGCGGAUGAUACGCGUGGAUACGCGUUCGAUACGUAUUGGAGUGAAAGGAUACGUUUGGGACUGAUGAGAUACGCGUAUCGUAUUGUCCAGAUACGUGUAUCCUACUUUUCGGAUACAUUUGAAAACUGAAAUAGGAGGAUAAUCACAAAAAAAAAAUCACAAAAAAUCCGCAUAGAAUCGUGAUUGAUCGAACUUAGUUAACUGAAAUCACUCUAAAAUCAAAGGAUAAUCAGAAAAAAAAUAUUCGGAUUUACCUCUCAGAAAUCACUCUGCUUGGGAGACUUUCACGAAUCCCCAUUGACCGUCAUCUGCAACUGUUCCGUGACCCGUCGUCGUCUCCAUCUGCAACUGCGCCGUCGUCUCCCUCUUCUUCGUCUACAACUGCUCCGUCGUCUCCUUCGUCUGUCUGCAACUCCUGGUGAGUCGUAACCGGUGAGCUU
RNAcentral lists this long non-coding RNA (506 nucleotides) under Malus domestica (apple). Its description in RNAcentral is "long non-coding RNA (MDOM_LNC020925)". Lineage: Eukaryota; Viridiplantae; Streptophyta; Magnoliopsida; Rosales; Rosaceae. The record is from RNAcentral.